RNAcentral lists this ribosomal RNA (381 nucleotides) under uncultured marine Chaetocerotaceae. RNAcentral describes it as "SSU rRNA". It matches the Rfam family "Eukaryotic small subunit ribosomal RNA", at positions 587 to 972 of the family's 1831-position model. The record is from RNAcentral. Lineage: Eukaryota; Bacillariophyta; Thalassiosirophyceae; Chaetocerotales; Chaetocerotaceae.
AGCUCUAAUAGCGUAUAUUAAAGUUGUUGCAGUUAAAAAGCUCGUAGUUGCAUUUCCGAGGCAAGGGAUUAGUCCGACCUUUGGUGGGUAUUUAAUCCUCUUGCCUCGUCCUUGAGUGGUGCUUCUUGGUAUUAAGUUAUCGAGGAGAUAGCCGCUCAUCGUUUACUGUGAGAAAAUUAGAGUGUUCAAAGCAGGCUUAUGCCGUUGAAUAUAUUAGCAUGGAAUAAUAAGAUAGGACCUCGGUACUAUUUUGUUGGUUUGAGAACCAAGGUAAUGAUGAAUAGGGACAGUUGGGGGUAUUCGUAUUCAGUUGUCAGAGGUGAAAUUCUUAGAUUUACGGAAGACGAACUACUGCGAAAGCAUUUACCAAGGAUGUUUUCA